CAACUUUGAAUUUUCCGCCAUCUUGUUUUCCCGCAUGAAGACUUCACAGAAGAAAAGAGAAAGAAAUCGGCAUGCAGUGAUCUCAUAUAGUUAAAAGAAGCAACGUUUAAUGGUCAUCUGCUGAAUGUGGAAAUGUAAAGACUGUGGGGUCACCAAAUCACGACGAUCGGAACUUCUGAAGCAUUACAAACUCCAGGAGCGAUGGCCAGCGAUGUUUCAAGAAGCGGAGAUCAAUGCUGAAUUCCUAAGAAUUACAACGGUACCGCUACAACCACGAUUCUUGGCUGGUUUGGAUAAGCAGAGCAGUCAGCUUCUUCAGGUCAUGAGGAAAAAAGGUGGAGCUGUCGGUCAGAAAAUCAGGGACACCCUUAAACCUUUGGAUCAGGGUGUGGACUUGAACAGAGUGCCUCCUGAAGUCGCUCGUGAUUUACCUGGGUGAAGAUGUGAGCCACCUGAUCAAAGAGUACCUGGUUGUCCAACAGGAAGAGGCGGAGGAA
This is a long non-coding RNA of Scomber japonicus (chub mackerel), 497 nucleotides long. RefSeq lists it as uncharacterized. The transcript is spliced from 6 exons. Lineage: Eukaryota; Metazoa; Chordata; Actinopteri; Scombriformes; Scombridae. The record is from RefSeq and is a predicted model, not a curated record.